This is an RNA transcript of Mizuhopecten yessoensis (Yesso scallop), 6686 nucleotides long. It is a transcript of the gene named inosine-5'-monophosphate dehydrogenase 1b-like, with no coding region annotated. The transcript has 18 exons. The record is from RefSeq and is a predicted model, not a curated record. Lineage: Eukaryota; Metazoa; Mollusca; Bivalvia; Pectinida; Pectinidae.
AUUAGACCUGAACGGAAGGUGACACAUUUUAACCACAGAUUCUCGGACUGUGUGCGCCAACAGAGCAUGCAAGUGCGUUUAGAACGGAAAGCAUCCUCUGCAUCAUAGCUGGUUGCUACCACUGUGCAUUGAAUAUACAUUCAGGCAAAUUAUAUUUUGAACACAAACUACAUCUUUUUGCAGAAUAUUUUUUCUGCAAGACAGCUGAUCUGCUUGUCUGUUAGAUAGAAGGGAGCAGACGACAGAUGUCCACAGUAUUGAUGGAUGACGGUCCUUCACAUCCAGCUCGACAUGUCGCAGUGGGAAAGCGUUGUCACGACCAAAUGAGUCAACUCGGCUACGACAGCAGCAUGGCAGACUAUCUAAUAACUGGCGGUGCUGGAUACGUUCCUGACGAUGGUUUAACCGGGGCUGGACUAUUUGCAAAUGGAGAUGGAAUGACAUAUAAUGAUUUCCUUAUCUUGCCAGGCUUUAUUGAUUUUCUCUCGGAAAAUGUGGACCUCACAUCAGCUCUCACUCGCAAAAUUACCCUCAAGGCACCCCUUGUAUCUUCUCCUAUGGACACGGUCACAGAGUCUAGCAUGGCAAUCGGAAUGGCGUUAUGCGGUGGCGUGGGAGUCAUUCAUCACAACUGUGCUCCAGAAUUUCAAGCCAAUGAAGUUAGAAAAGUGAAGAAAUAUGAGCAGGGAUUCAUCCUCGACCCGGUGGUCAUGUCCCCAAAACAAACUGUGAAGGAUGUCAACAAUGCCAAGAAUCAAUACGGCUUCUCAGGUAUCCCCAUCACCGAGAACGGACACAUGGGGGAGAAACUUGUUGGUCUCGUCACCCAGCGAGACAUUGAUUUCCUCACCACGGAGGAGUUUAACACACCACUGGGAGAGGUGAUGACAAAAUUUGAGGCACUUGUUGUGGCACACAGUGGAGUGACACUAAAGGAAGCCAACCAGAUACUACAAAAGAGUAAAAAAGGAAAACUUCCCAUCAUCAAUGACAAUGGUGAGCUGGUUGCUUUAAUAGCUCGAACCGAUACCAAAAAGAACCGAGACUUUCCCUUGGCUUCCAAAGAUGAACAUAAACAGCUCCUUGUGGGAGCGGCAGUCAGUACCCAAGACUCGGACAAAGAUAGGCUAGAGAUGUUAGUGUCAGCAGGUGUAGACUUCGUAGUCUUGGAUUCGUCCCAAGGUAACUCUAUUUACCAGAUCAACAUGAUAAAACACAUCAAGAAAAAAUAUCCAAAUCUCCAAGUUAUUGGAGGCAAUGUGGUGACAGCAGCCCAGGCUAAGAACUUAGUAGAUGCAGGUGUGGACGCUCUGAGGGUGGGCAUGGGUAGUGGGUCUAUCUGUAUCACCCAAGAAGUGAUGGCAGUUGGCCGGCCUCAAGGUACAGCCGUCUAUAAAGUGGCCGAGUAUGCUCGCAGAUUUGGGGUUCCCGUCAUAGCAGAUGGAGGAAUUGCAGUGGUGGGUCACAUCAUCAAGGCGCUCUCUCUAGGGGCCUCCACAGUGAUGAUGGGCUCAAUGUUGGCCGGGACCUCUGAAGCCCCGGGUGAAUACUUCUUUGCUGAUGGUGUUAGACUGAAAAAGUACAGAGGAAUGGGCUCACUUGAUGCCAUGGAGAAACACAAAAGUAGUCAAAGCCGAUACUUCAGUGAGAGUGAUAAGUUGAAAGUAGCCCAGGGUGUGUCAGGCUCUAUAGUAGACAAAGGAUCCAUCCACAAGUUCGUGCCCUAUCUCAUAGCUGGGAUCCAGCACGCCUGUCAGGACAUCGGAGCUCGUAGUCUCUCCAACCUAAGGGACAAGGCCAUACAUGUACUGAAACCAUACACGCCCCCAGGCAGCGUUACAUUCACCCCCCACACAGCGACCAACCCCGCUUGGAUGACAGAUGUUUUGGAGGUCAAUGAUGUACUCGGGCGAGCUAAAGUUUGAGAGGAGAACCACUUCAGCUCAAAUUGAAGGAGGCGUACAUAACCUACACAGUUUUGAUGUUCGUCUGUACUAAGCUUUGAAAAAAGGUUGUACUAGAAGCAGUACUCCCAAGCAAUGGAAGUUAGAAAGAUGACGACAUUCCGAUCUCUUUGCCGGAUUUCCAGAUACAAUAAGCAACAAGGAAAAUCAAGUGAAGCCACAAGGGAGAUAACUUGUGUCUCGGUCUCUUCAGGUCAAAAUUGUAAAGUAGAAUUCAUGUUGCACAGAAAUUUGGCUCUUUGCCAUGAAAGUAGAGGUGAAACAGGAAGUAUACUGGGUGCUAUUAAGGUUUUAAAUGAUUAUAAAUAUGUGGCAAUACAUUAUUAGAUAUUCUGUAUUUUGGAUCUAUUUUUACAAAGAUUCUUGACUGGACUUAGUUUUACAUUUUUUCCAUAAGUGCAUACAUUAGAAGAAAUCCGUAGGACAGAUCUAGAUGACUUCACCAAGAUGACAUGUUUCAGAGUUCAAAAUUCUACUCAAUAAUGCUUGACUGUGAGAUAGUUCUACGAAGUCUGCUGUGCACACUAUGAAAUAGUUCAGAAAUGAAUAUUGUUGCAGCACUGAUCUAGUUUUACAAAAUGUUAUGUAAUAGAAAUGUUCAUUAUAUUAUUCUUCUUUAAGGCCAAUAAGGUUGGUGAGUUUAUUGUAUGGAAGGAAGAUUGGUUUGAAAAACAAGUACUGCAUACAGGAAAUGUUUGCUGCAGUUAAACUUUUGCGCCCUCAGUACCAGAGAGAAUUUAUCAUAACAGUGAGCAGUUGUAAGCAAUAUAAUUAACACAGUAAUCAAAUGUGAAGGAUGAAAUUAUUAUUGGGCCAAAACAGAUUUUACUGGUAUAGGGCGUAACUUUGUCUGGAGGAGAGUUUGCCUGUAUAGAGUAUUUACUUUAGCUGUAGAUAGCAUUACAAUGCUAUUCUUUUUAUACUUUGAAAUGUUGAGAGUUGGUUUCGACUUGCUAUGAUACUUUCCACAAAGUGUGAAAACCUAAGCAAUGUGUGGUAUGCUAGAUUGAUAUAUGCAGUUAAUUUGCCCUGCUUUAUGUUUUUCAUAAUUCAUUUUGUGGUAUUAUUUCUCCUUGUAUGAUGAUAGUUUUGCAUUUUUAGCUCACCUAGUUUGAAGGGUCAAGCUGUUCGAGUUAUUGCUAUCUAACAGCACGUAUCCAUCAUUCAUUCAUCCAUAUUCUUAUAAAGAACCCCAGAGCAUAAGGUAAUGCUGUUUGGUCUAUAGCUUGUUUGGAUAUAUAAAAGACUAUCAAUAUAUAUUUCUUAAAGCACUUUUUUUACAAACAAUGAGGCCUAGAGUCGUGGUAUUUGAUUUAGAACUUAUUAGGAUGAAGGGCUAUCAAAUUGUUUAAACAGAUGACCUUUUUUCACAUUUUUACAAAAGUUUCCAUAUAAGCCUCUUGUUUUGUUGUUGUUUUAGAAGUGAGAAAACAUCUCUGUUGCAGUUGAUAUACUUUGUACUAUAAAGAGGAUAUUUCUGUACAGUAAUUCCACACUCCUGCCAUUAGAAAAACUAAAUUCUAGUAUCUGGCAUCUGGCAUUACGUGUUGAUCAGUUCAUCUGUCUCAAAGUUACCACCGUAAAAACAACAGACAUUCCUGUUCUAAAAUAAGUCAUGUCUGCAAAGAAGUUGACUUCUUUUGGAAGAAAUAACAUUUUAAAAAACAUGGGCAUGAAAACAGUAUAAUCUGAUUACAUUGUAGAACGUUCCAGUUCAGUCUUGAUUCCAUGUUUGCAGAUUUACUGAUGCUUUACUCCCUAGAUCUUAAUUCAUUGAAUCUCGCUACAAACUAUAUAUAGCUACUGAUAUCAUUUUAAUACACUCAUCUGUUUGUUAUAUUCAUAUUUUUGCCAUGGUCAUUUUGGGACAAAUUGUAAUUUAUAGGUAGAUUGAAAUUAGUCAUGUAGUACAAUGUCAAAGAUAACUAGCGCCAUUAUUUGAACAGCAUUUAUCCAAAUCUUUAUUAUCUACUAUGAAGGCCACCUUCGUUGCAGUACCAAUCUCAGAUCAGAGAAAUUACCAGUGUUGAUUCACGGUGAUUUGAUAUUGGUUGUGAUCACAUUACAAAUUUUAUCAAUCAUCUACAUUAUUUGUUUUCUCUCUCUUCAACAGUGAAGUGGGUGAUGUUGAUUUUAGAAACAUGAAGACAAUUCACUCUAUCUGAUUCAAGGUGCAUUCAUGAUCACAGGGUUUGAGGUUAGAACCCAAGAAAAUGAUUACACCGAUACCAAUCAUUUAAAAUCUAGGACCUGGAAUAAUAAUGUGGUAUCAUUGAUUCAUUGGUAUCAAUAGGUUAAAAGGUUUGUAUUUUUUUUUUCGGUUGAUCAUAUAACGAAUACAUUUUCAAAGCAGGAGGUCAACAUUUUUCAUGUUUCGUUUAUUGCUGUUAAAAUAGGACUAUAUGCAACAAAAAAUCUUGAAAUUUUGCCAAGGAACACGCGGAAAGAGGACUUUGUAAUACAGCAUAAUAUAUGGUAUUGAUGGUGUAGUUAAAUACCGUGAGGUUCUAACCUUAACUCAUAAUUACAGAGAAGGACCAGAAAUGACAUUUGGGCCAAAGCAAUAUAUUUGUAGAUUUAAAUUAAUUAUGUGGGCCAAAUCUUUACGAAGGAGGACAUGCUCAGCACUGCUCUCACUAUAGGGACCACAUACAGACCACAUACAGAACUACAACAGCAGUCUUUAAAUCAAUGUCAGAAUUAUAUUUUAAUUCGUAUGUAUAAUGCCUUAAAGAUUUACUAUGUAGUGUAAUAGAUAAUAUGAACUCACCGAUUCCCCUCCGUUCAUUUACAUACAUCUGCAAAAGGGUCAUAGAAUAAAGUCCAGAUUUCAUUUGAUAAUCAAAGGCAAACCAUUGAAGUAAGUACAAAAGUAAAAUUAUAUAUAUAUUGACAAUGGGUGCAUGUGUGGUGUAGUCAUAUUUUGAAUGAAGCAAUUUGGAUUUUUUCCCCCCUAGAAAUCAUAUGUGAAUACUUCAGCCAAGAACCACUAUUAUUUAUCUCUGUAUAGGGAUGGGGCUGCGGGGAAACUUUUCAUCCUUCUUCUCAAGCCGUUAGUCAUUGACAGUACAUUUAAGUAGGCAUAUUGUUACUGUCAGGGGAGGUAAUUUAUUUGUCUUAUAGUAGUAGAUUUGGGAUUAAAAAGGAAUUUUGUCAUUCCAAUCUUGAACCCAAAAAGUAAAAAGAUUGUGUAUGUCUGGUAUUGCAAUUAAGACUUUAAAAUUUCAUUAAAAACUCCUAGCUUUGCUAAACUUGUAAUUAAUUUACUUAUCGACAUUCUAUUUUCACUCCAUAAGAUAUAAAGUUUCCAUAAGUUAUUUGUACAUCAUACCCGAGUUAAUAUAAUCAAGUGUUAAGGUGAUACACUGUAGAACUACAUUUUACUGCAUUUAAUUUUUGUAAAGUUUAUUACAUGCAUUUAUAUAAUUGUCCGAUAAUGUUUUGAAGCCAAUAAAACACAGUGAUGAUUGUGAACGGCCACCAUUAAAAUGUUUUCAAACUUAUUGAUAUUUACAUUGCCCUAUAGAUUUCAAGGUGAUAUUUGCAAGCUUAAUUUGUGUGAAAAAUUUAUGAUUUGUUGUAAUUAUUUUGAAUUUCUAGCCUUAAUUCUACUUUUUGCCUAAACAUAUUAAUUCUACUUGUUUGCCUUUGACCAUGUUUAUACUAUCAUUAUUUGCCUGGCAAUAGGAGACUGGUGUUGCCUUUUUGCAUCCAGUUCACCAUUCAUACUGUUCCAGUUGGAACAUCGGCAAAUGUCAAAAUGUUUAAUGACGGAAUUAUUCGCAACUUUAAAGUAUUAAGUAUUACGAUUGCUAUUUCCUUUAUUGAUACCUAAUAUCUUGAAAAUUAGACAUCAGAGUUGUAUUUCAUUUAAUAUUACCAAGACUGUAAUGGGAAAAUACCGAUUUAGGCAAGAACAAUACUUCAGAAUUGCCUUUAAUGAAGUGCAAUGAGUUUCUCAUAAAAUCAUUGAUCCAGUUUUGUAACUUUUAACUGUUUUUUUUAACAGUUUUAAAUGUGUAGAGCUAAUGGUCUACCGCUACUGCCUCCAGCCAUUUAUAGUGAUUUAUUUUUAUUUUGUGCAUAUCUCCCCAUCAUGUCAUAAUUAUGUGAUAGAUAGCAGUGAAUAUUAGAUACAUAAUUAUACUCUUACCACAAAAGAACUCUGAAAAUGCAGCACGUUUAGCAAAAAAAACAAAAAAAACUAUUUACACUCAUCAUAAAAUACUUACCACCAUCAAUUUAUCCAGUCACGAUAAAUACAUUGCCAUUGUAUAUUUGUUGUCUGAACGUGAGGUUGGGAGUAGCAGGCAGUGUGCACUGCUUUGAGGUUACACAUAUUAUUGUCACCACACUCUUGUAUGUAGAUUUUGCACACGUUGGUAGGGUGAACAUUGCGCUAUCCUGAGGUGACAGGUAUGUCACAAAAUGGUGUUGUAAAAUUUAAUUAGACAUGAAAGAAAUGUAUUGAUUUUUAUAGAUAAAUGUUAUCGUUCUUGUCAUUGGAAGAUUUUUUUAGUUGUCUUCUUCAAAAUACUAUGAAUUCAUUCUGAGUAUAUGUACAUGUGUAAAUUUAAAGAUAUUGUAAAAACAUACAAUGAAAUAAAAAGUAAGAGAUGUUCUGUAAAGUGUUAAUACAUGUUAAUUGUUGGGUAGACAUUUCUGGAUAAGUUCUGUCAGAAAUGCUCAUUUGUUCAUCAAUAAAUUAAUAUUGAUAUUGGU